This 138-nucleotide small nucleolar RNA is filed under the name Ornithorhynchus anatinus (platypus). The record is from RNAcentral. Lineage: Eukaryota; Metazoa; Chordata; Mammalia; Monotremata; Ornithorhynchidae.
CCCCUCUCAAGGUCUCACCCGGAGAGUUUGCAGCACUCUACUAGUCUUGGCUACGGGAGGGAGAAUCAAGCAGAGGCCUACCCAUUCCAUUCCUAGCUUGGCCAGUGGCUAGCGAGUGGAAGGGAAUCUGCUACAAGU